UACGAAGGGUGCAAGCGUUACUCGGAAUUACUGGGCGUAAAGCGUGCGUAGGCGGUUUGUUAAGUCCGCUGUGAAAGCCCUGGGCUCAACCUGGGAAUUGCAGUGGAUACUGGCAAGCUAGAGUGCGGUAGAGGAUGGUGGAAUUCCCGGUGUAGCGGUGAAAUGCGUAGAGAUCGGGAGGAACACCCGUGGCGAAGGCAGCACUCUGGUACAUGACUGACGCUGAGACGCGAAAGCGUGGGUAGCAAACAGG
RNAcentral lists this ribosomal RNA (253 nucleotides) under uncultured bacterium. Its description in RNAcentral is "partial 16S ribosomal RNA". It matches the Rfam family "Bacterial small subunit ribosomal RNA", at positions 524 to 776 of the family's 1533-position model. The record is from RNAcentral.